GAUGAACGCUGGCGGCGUGCCUAAUACAUGCAAGUCGAGCGAACAGACGAGGAGCUUGCUCCUCUGACGUUAGCGGCGGACGGGUGAGUAACACGUGGAUAACCUACCUAUAAGACUGGGAUAACUUCGGGAAACCGGAGCUAAUACCGGAUAAUAUAUUGAACCGCACGGUUCAAUAGUGAAAGACGGUUUUGCUGUCACUUAUAGAUGGAUCCGCGCUGCAUUAGCUAGUUGGUAAGGUAACGGCUUACCAAGGCAACGAUGCAUAGCCGACCUGAGAGGGUGAUCGGCCACACUGGAACUGAGACACGGUCCAGACUCCUACGGGAGGCAGCAGUAGGGAAUCUUCCGCAAUGGGCGAAAGCCUGACGGAGCAACGCCGCGUGAGUGAUGAAGGUCUUCGGAUCGUAAAACUCUGUUAUUAGGGAAGAACAAAUGUGUAAGUAACUAUGCACGUCUUGACGGUACCUAAUCAGAAAGCCACGGCUAACUACGUG
Molecule: ribosomal RNA, 497 nt
Filed under: uncultured bacterium
Lineage: Bacteria
Description: partial 16S ribosomal RNA
Rfam family: Bacterial small subunit ribosomal RNA
Source: RNAcentral